This 480-nucleotide ribosomal RNA is filed under the name uncultured bacterium. Its description in RNAcentral is "SSU rRNA". It matches the Rfam family "Bacterial small subunit ribosomal RNA", at positions 26 to 521 of the family's 1533-position model. The record is from RNAcentral.
AGGACGAACGCUGGCGGCGUGCUUAACACAUGCAAGUCGAGCGAGGCCCUUCCUUCGGGAAGGUGUCCUAGCGGCGAACGGGUGAGUAACACGUGGGCAACCUGCCCAUAGCUCUGGGAUAAGCGUUGGAAACGGCGUCUAAUACCGGAUAUGACACGGGACGGCAUCAUCUCCGUGUGGAAAGAAUUUCGGCUAUGGAUGGGCCCGCGGCCUAUCAGCUAGUUGGUGAGGUAAUGGCUCACCAAAGCGACGACGGGUAACCGGCCUGAGAGGGCGACCGGUCACACUGGGACUGAGACACGGCCCAGACUCCUACGGGAGGCAGCAGUGGGGAAUAUUGCACAAUGGGCGAAAGCCUGAUGCAGCGACGCCGCGUGAGGGAUGAAUGCCUUCGGGUUGUAAACCUCUUUCAGUAGGGACGAAGCGAAAGUGACGGUACCUGCAGAGAAGCGCGGCCAACUACGUGCCAGCAGCCGCGGU